Molecule: transfer RNA, 87 nt
Filed under: bacterium TMED46
Lineage: Bacteria
Description: tRNA-Leu
Rfam family: tRNA
About the family: Transfer RNA (tRNA) molecules are approximately 80 nucleotides in length. Their secondary structure includes four short double-helical elements and three loops (D, anti-codon, and T loops).
Source: RNAcentral
GCCGAAGUGGUGGAAUUGGUAGACACGCAUGCUUGAGGGGCAUGUGGGGGAAACCCUGUGCCGGUUCGAGUCCGGCCUUCGGUACAA